Lycium ferocissimum is the source of this 705-nucleotide long non-coding RNA. RefSeq lists it as uncharacterized. The transcript is spliced from 2 exons. The record is from RefSeq and is a predicted model, not a curated record. Lineage: Eukaryota; Viridiplantae; Streptophyta; Magnoliopsida; Solanales; Solanaceae.
GAUUGCUGACAUAUUAUAUUUAAAAAUUGGACAGCAAAAGGAUCAAAUUGUGCAUAAAUGCGAAUGAUCAGAAAUAUCGAACCAAGACCUUCAAGAUAGCUGUUUCUCAACCAGGGGUGCAAUCAGCAACUAUGCUGGGAGGUGGAGUGGACAAUUACAAAUUAGAAGUUGUGGGAGAGCUUGACGCAGUAGUUCUUACCAACUGCCUCAAGAAGAAAUUGGGCCAGGCCCAGCUGCUAAGAGUUGGGCCUGUUGCUGCUGGCAACAACAACGCCGGCAACAGGCCCAACACAGGCCCAAGUUCUGACGCAGAGCCCCAACCUUUAGCUCCGCCGGAAACCCAUAGUUACCCUAGCAUGCCUCAAUACCAACUUUUGGAAGCUAUAGACCGAAUUCACAUAAUGUAGCAACAUUAUGUGAAUUAGUUACUUGGAUUAUAUAGCAUGAAAUAAAACGGUAUGUAUAUCGGGGCUAUUGAUACUGAAACAGCACAGCAGAUGAGGAGUACUCAAGUUUCAAUCAUCUAUCUAGUAGAUCGAUCGAUCGAUCGAUCGGUCACCUGUUUUGAUUUUUAUUUUGCAAGUUUUAUUUGUUCCUUUUUGGAUGAUCAUUUGUACGUAUUGUGUUCAACUUUUUGGAAAUUGUCUUGUAACCGUACUGUCAUAGUACCGCUAAAGGAAAUGCUAGUAUACUUUAAAGUGAUGC